Molecule: ribosomal RNA, 420 nt
Filed under: uncultured bacterium
Lineage: Bacteria
Description: bacterial SSU rRNA
Rfam family: Bacterial small subunit ribosomal RNA
Source: RNAcentral
GAGGAAUAUUGGUCAAUGGGCGGAAGCCUGAACCAGCCAUGUCGCGUGCAGGACUACGGCCCUACGGGUCUCAAACUGCUUUUAUGCGGGGAUAAAGUCGGCCACGAGUGGCCGAUUGCAGGUACCGCAUGAAUAAGGAUCGGCUAACUCCGUGCCAGCAGCCGCGGUAAUACGGGGGAUCCGAGCGUUAUCCGGAUUUAUUGGGUUUAAAGGGUGCGUAGGCGGCCUGUCAAGUCGGCGGUGAAACCCCCGGGCUCAACCCGGGGACUGCCGUCGAAACUGGCGGGCUAGAGUACGUUGGGAGUGCGCGGAAUGUGUGGUGUCGCGGUGAAAUGCAUAGAUAUCACACAGAACACCGAUCGCGUAGGCAGCGCACUACGCCGCAACUGACGCUGAGGCACGAAGGCGCGGGGAUCGAAC